GGACGGGUGAGUAACGCGUAGGAAUCUACCCAGUAGCGGGGGAUAGCCCGAGGAAACUCGGAUUAAUACCGCAUACGCCCUAAGGGGGAAAGGCCGGGAUCUUCGGACCGGUCGCUAUUGGAUGAGCCUGCGUAAGAUUAGCUUGUUGGUGGGGUAAAGGCCUACCAAGGCGACGAUCUUUAGCUGGUCUGAGAGGAUGAUCAGCCACACUGGGACUGAGACACGGCCCAGACUCC
Molecule: ribosomal RNA, 236 nt
Filed under: uncultured bacterium
Lineage: Bacteria
Description: partial 16S ribosomal RNA
Rfam family: Bacterial small subunit ribosomal RNA
Source: RNAcentral